RNAcentral lists this transfer RNA (76 nucleotides) under Aeromonas caviae. Its description in RNAcentral is "tRNA-Ala". It matches the Rfam family "tRNA". From Rfam's summary of the family: Transfer RNA (tRNA) molecules are approximately 80 nucleotides in length. Lineage: Bacteria; Pseudomonadati; Pseudomonadota; Gammaproteobacteria; Aeromonadales; Aeromonadaceae. The record is from RNAcentral. RNAcentral also lists the same sequence under 11 other names.
GGGGUUAUAGCUCAGUUGGGAGAGCGCUUGCAUGGCAUGCAAGAGGUCCGCGGUUCGAUCCCGCGUAGCUCCACCA